GACGAACGCUGGCGGCGUGCCUAAUACAUGCAAGUCGAACGCACAGUUUAUACUGUAGCUUGCUACACCAUAAACUGUGAGGUGCGAACGGGUGAGUAACGCGUAGGUAACCUGCCUGGUAGCGGGGGAUAACUAUUGGAAACGAUAGCUAAUAACGCAUAAUAUUAAUUAUUGCAUGAUAAUUGAUUGAAAGAUGGAAUUGAAUCACUACCAGAUGGACCUGCGGUGUAUUAGUUAGUUGGGGAGGUAACGGCGCAACUAGGGGAAGAUACGUAGCCGGACUGAGAGGGGGGUCCGCCACACUGGGACGGGUACACGGCCCAGACGCCUACGGGAGGCAGCAGGAGUGAAACUUGGGCAAUGGGCGAAAGUCUGACCGAGCAACGCCGCGUGAGGGAAGAAGGUUUUCGGAUCGUAAAGCUCUGUUGUAAGGGAAGAACGGGUGUGAGAGUGGAAAGUUCACACUGUGACGGUAUCUUACCAGAAAGCGACGGCUAACUACGUG
Molecule: ribosomal RNA, 505 nt
Filed under: uncultured bacterium
Lineage: Bacteria
Description: partial 16S ribosomal RNA
Rfam family: Bacterial small subunit ribosomal RNA
Source: RNAcentral